RNAcentral lists this microRNA precursor (98 nucleotides) under Felis catus (domestic cat). Its description in RNAcentral is "mir-544 microRNA precursor family". It matches the Rfam family "mir-544 microRNA precursor family". RNAcentral also lists the same sequence under 2 other names. The record is from Rfam by way of RNAcentral. Lineage: Eukaryota; Metazoa; Chordata; Mammalia; Carnivora; Felidae.
AUCACCUGAGGAGCUUGUCAAAAGGCAGAUUCCGAUUGAGGAGGUCUGGGGUGGCACCUGAGAUUCUGCAUUCCUAACAAGUGCCCAGGUGAUGCCAA